RNA transcript from Dendroctonus ponderosae (mountain pine beetle), 1569 nucleotides. RefSeq lists it as uncharacterized. NCBI's taxonomy places the organism in Eukaryota, Metazoa, Arthropoda, Insecta, Coleoptera, Curculionidae. The transcript has 6 exons. The record is from RefSeq and is a predicted model, not a curated record.
UCAUUGAGUGAUAACACAAUGCACUGUGACUCUGUGCAAUUACCGCUGUAAUUUUUCGAUAAUUGCACACUGCAAACGGACAGAUUAUCAUACGAAGAAAAUAUUCGAUAACAUUUCCAGAAAAUAUAUCGAUUGAAUCAGUUCAACCUGUUUUUGUUCCACAUUUUUAUAAAUCAUUUGCUAUUUUUGUCUAUAGUAACGGCAACAUUGCUUGUCGGUCGUGUCAAGAAAAAAAAAUUGGUUAGUGUUGUACACACCUGACAGAUUUUGUUUUGAUUUUAAUUUAGUCAACAUUUAAGAGAAAUCAACAAUUUAUUCAAAAUGAAACGUGUUAGUGCUUUUAGUGAUGAAAUGGACACUUCGAACAGCCCAAAUUCAAGRAAAACAUCUGUUAAUUAUUGUAAUCCACAAUUUCAAACAAAUUGUGGAAAAUAAGGAAACGAAUGCUACCAAGUGGGGAGACAAAGAAGUGGCGUGGAGCAAAAUUUCAGCUGCAUUCAAUUCGCAAACCACUGGGCAUGGGCAUAAGCAUAAGUCGAAAGAGCAGUUAAAAAAAUAUUAUGAAAAUAUAAAAAAGGCGGUAAGGAAAGAAGGAGCAAAUGAAGACUGGGGGAGGGCCAUAUUUAAAUGCGCUGAGUAACUCUUUAUAGGAGCUUACUCUAGAUCCAAUCAGCAAGAAAACCCUCUAUGGACUUCCAUAUAAGUUUGGCGGGCGGUCUGUAAACACUGCACAAAGUAUGKCGUAAAUAUGAACACAAUAUGGAGAUUUUAUCAAGUGGCAUCCGGCAUUCACUUACAUACCCCGAAAAAGUUUAAGCCUGAGCAGAGAGUAGAAUGUACUGAUUUUAUGAUGGAUUUGGAAUCAAACUCAGAAUUAGCAGUACAAAUUCCAGAUAGACGAUGCAUUACUUCUGGGACCCACAGCAUGGAAACAUCAAAAAACUUUUAUUCGGGAACUUGUUUUAGAUCUAGUAGAGAGAGAUCAUAAGCCCAUGGACUAUUCCCUGGUAAAUCCAGAUCAUGUAGGCAAACAUACAUAUGACGAAAUGGUGGAACUGGAUGCAUGUUCUUUAAAUAUGAGGUUUCUUCAGGAAAAUAUCCGAAAACCCUAUGAAGAGGCCCAGAGAGACAAGAAAUUGCAUUCAGCAGCUUGCAACUUUGUGAAAAAGUCAGGACAAACAUAUCAUCUCUAUCAAAGACCUUCGGCUCAACAAUAUUUUAGUAUGUUAUCUCCGCAGGAUUGGAAUGGAAAUCCGCCACAUGCAUACCUGGGUAGUUGGUGUUUGGAAGCAAAUAAAACUUGGACUUCAGCUGAGGAAAUGAAUUUGAGAUUCGGAGGAGCAGCGUUUCUAAAAAACUUGUAUUCAUAGUACAACUCAUGUAAUAUACCGUGUAGUAUUGGACUAUUUUAAAAUAUAAAUUUGUAAUGUUUAUAAAAAUGUUGAUUCGACGUGUACAUUUUGGCGAGUUUGCUUUGCAUCUUGCAAAUUAAUAAUAUGCCUGUAAAUAUAUCUGUAAAAAAAUUAAGCUUAGUUAAAUUACCCAAUAAAAUACUGACAUCUAUAACAA